AUGUUGGUCAAGCUGGUAGUUGGGGACUUAGUUCUCAAUGUUAUCAACGCGUAUGCCCCGCAAGUAGGGCACAAUGAGAACACCAAGAGGGAGUUCUUGGAAGGCUUGGAGAACAUGGUUAGGAGUGUACUGAUUGGCGAGAAGCUCUUCAUAGGAGGAGACCUCAAUGGCCACGUGGGUACAUCUAACACAGGUUUUGAAGGGGUGCAUGGGGGCUUUGGUUAUGGCAUCAGAAAUCAAGGAGAUGUCUUAAGCUUUGCUCUAGCCUACGACAUGAUCGUAGCUAACACCCUCUUUAAAUAG
Molecule: ribosomal RNA, 303 nt
Filed under: Triticum aestivum (bread wheat)
Lineage: Eukaryota; Viridiplantae; Streptophyta; Magnoliopsida; Poales; Poaceae
Description: partial small subunit ribosomal RNA
Source: RNAcentral